UCCAAAAACACCAGCAAAAGCAUAGCAAACAUGCAAAUUCUGUCUUACCUCUGCUGUUUUCUCAUCGGAAGUUAUUUCCAGUUGACUAGAAGUAGUUUCCUUGUGUAUUCCAUCCAUUUACCGUCUGAUCGCUUGCAUUGUUCCCACCCGGCAUCUUGUAUAGGACGGAAAUCAUGACCAAAUAUGGCAUCUGGGCCCGUGCGCUCUUCCUGACUUCCCCUGCGUUCUGGCUCUGUGAUUCGCCAGGGUUUCUGUCCAAUCACAAUAGAAGCUCUAACUUUUUUCUGCAUAGUUACAGCUUCGUUUUAAUACCAGGAGCUCCCUGAUUGGACUAAAAGUCAGACUUGCUGAACCGCGCGUAAGGAGUUAGCAGGUGUUAGCGUGUGUUAGCAUUUACGCAUUACGCACGGGUGAUACGCGGGUGUACUAUUUUCCACGGUGUUUUCCCUUUUUUUUUGUCAAAAACGAUGUCUAAGAGGAAGUAUGUGAAGCCUUUGACUGUGGAGGAAGUUUUACAGAUGCUAGAUGAAUUUCCUGGAGCUGAAGUCAACCUUGAGGACUCUGAUUCAAGUGAUUCAGAUCUCAUUCAUCCUGAACAUGGACUAGAUCAUGACGAGCCGCUUGAGAGUAGUAGUGGUGAUGAUGAUGAUGGGGAGUCUGAAGAACCAAACAGAGCUUCAUUACCGCUGCCAGGUCCAUCUACACCAGCACGAAGUGCUGAGGAAUUUCUGCCACCGCUCUGCCUGUCAAAACCACCUGUGCCAAAGAGGCCGUGCCGUGCUUUUUCCAGACUGCAGAGUGCUCGAUCUACAUUGAGUUCUCCCAGCAGUAGUGAGGGGGAAGGUGACGAUGGGGAUUAUCAUCCACCUUCAAGGCCUAAGCGUCAGCCAACCACAAGACGAACAACUCAAAGAGUGUCAGCCCCACCCUCCCUGGAACCAGCUACAGUACCCCGAAAAGAAUCCUCCAAGAGCGUGAGAGGGAGGAGGAGAACUGCGUCCACCAGUCCUGCACCUCCGAGCUCUGCUGCCUCUCCACUGUCUGCGUGUCCGAGCCGUACUGCCGCUCCACUGCCUGCGUGUCCGAGCCCUGCUGCCGCU
This 1100-nucleotide long non-coding RNA is filed under the name Neogobius melanostomus (round goby). Its description in RNAcentral is "lncRNA (ENSNMLG00000011363.1)". The record is from RNAcentral. Lineage: Eukaryota; Metazoa; Chordata; Actinopteri; Gobiiformes; Gobiidae.